RNAcentral lists this ribosomal RNA (405 nucleotides) under uncultured bacterium. RNAcentral's name for it is "partial 16S ribosomal RNA". It matches the Rfam family "Bacterial small subunit ribosomal RNA", at positions 30 to 526 of the family's 1533-position model. The record is from RNAcentral.
AUUGAACGCUGGCGGCAGGCCUAACACAUGCAAGUCGAGCGGUUGGCGGACGGGUGAUUAAUGCUUGGGAAUCUGCCUUAUGGAGGGGAAUAACUACGGGAAACUGUACCUAAUACCGCUUGCCAUAGGAGGAGCCCAAGUGGGAUUAGGUAGUUGGGGAGGUAAAGGCUCACCAAGCCGACGAUCUCUAGCUGGUCUGAGAGGAUGACCAGCCACACUGGGACUGAGACACGGCCCAGACUCCUACGGGAGGCAGCAGUGGGGAAUAUUGCGCAAUGGGGGCAACCUGACGCAGCCAUGCCGCGUGAAUGAAGAAGGCCUUCGGGUUGUAAAGUUCUUUCGGUAGCGAGGCGUUAACUACAGAAGAAGCACCGGCUAACUCCGUGCCAGCAGCCGCGGUAAUUC